Molecule: ribosomal RNA, 1521 nt
Filed under: metagenome
Description: bacterial SSU rRNA
Rfam family: Bacterial small subunit ribosomal RNA
Source: RNAcentral
AGAGUUUGAUCCUGGCUCAGAACGAACGCUGGCGGCGUGGAUUAGGCAUGCAAGUCGAGCGAGAACCGGUUUGUGGCAAUACCGACCGGGGACAGCGGCGAACGGGUGAGUAAUGUAUGGGCAAUCUGCCCCUAAGUUGGGAAUAGCCUGCCGAAAGGCGGAGUAAUACCGAAUGUGGUCCCCCUGCGCAUGCAGGGGUGUCUGAAGACGGGGAUCGCAAGACCUGUCGCUUAGGGAUGAGCCCAUAUCCUAUCAGCUUGUUGGUGAGGUAACGGCUCACCAAGGCUUACGGGUAGCUGGUCUGAGAGGAUGGUCAGCCACACUGGGACUGAGACACUGCCCAGACUCCUACGGGAGGCUGCAGUCGAGGAUCUUGGACAAUGCGCGAAAGCGUGAUCCAGCGACGUCGCGUGUAGGAUGAAGGCCUUCGGGUUGUAAACUACUGUCAUGAGGGAGCAAUGACGUGGGCGCUAACACCGCUUGCGAAUGAUAGUACCUCAGGAGGAAGACACGGCUAACUCUGUGCCAGCAGCCGCGGUAAUACAGAGGUGUCGAGCGUUGUUCGGAUUUACUGGGCGUAAAGAGUGCGUAGGCGGUCUUGUGUGUCGGAUGUGAAAGCCUGUCGCUUAACGACAGAACGGCAUCUGAAACUACAGGACUUGAGUUCAGGAGAGGAUGGCGGAAUUCUCGGUGUAGCGGUGAAAUGCGUAGAUAUCGAGAGGAACACCCGUGGCGAAGGCGGCCAUCUGGACUGAUACUGACGCUGAGGCACGAAGGCCGGGGGAGCAAACAGGAUUAGAUACCCUGGUAGUCCCGGCAGUAAACGUUGUGUACUUGGUGUGAGGGGAGUUAUCCCCCCUCGUGCCGGAGCUAACGCGUUAAGUACACCGCCUGGGGAGUACGGCCGCAAGGCUAAAACUCAAAGGAAUUGACGGGGGCCCGCACAAGCGGUGGAGCAUGUGGCUUAAUUCGAUCCACGCGAAGAACCUUACCUGGGCUUGACAUGCAGCUGCACGACCUAUGAAAGUGGGUCUCCUUCGAGGGCCUGCACAGGUGCUGCAUGGCUGUCGUCAGCUCGUGCCGUGAGGUGUUGGGUUAAGUCCCGCAACGAGCGCAACCCCUGUGACUAGUUGCCCCUUCCAACGAAAGACGGAACGCACUCUAGUCAGACUGCCUGUGAUAAGCAGGAGGAAGGUGGGGAUGACGUCAAGUCAGUAUGGCCUUUAUGCCCAGGGCUGCACACGUGCUACAAUGAACGGUACAGAAGGAAGCAAGACCGCAAGGUGGAGCAGAUCCAAAAAACCGUUCCCAGUUCGGAUUGGAGUCUGCAACUCGACUCCAUGAAGCCGGAAUCGCUAGUAAUGGCGCAUCAGCUACGGCGCCGUGAAUACGUUCCCGGGCCUUGUACACACCGCCCGUCACAUCAUGAAAGCCGAUUGCACCCGAUGUCACCGACUCGACCCGCAAGGGGGAUAGGUGCCUAAGGUGUGAUUGGUGAUUGGGAUGAAGUCGGACAAGGUA